RNAcentral lists this ribosomal RNA (237 nucleotides) under Triticum aestivum (bread wheat). Its description in RNAcentral is "partial small subunit ribosomal RNA". The record is from RNAcentral. Lineage: Eukaryota; Viridiplantae; Streptophyta; Magnoliopsida; Poales; Poaceae.
AUCCCCGAUGAUCACUUUGACAGCUCUGAAUCUUGGUGGAUCAAUACUCGAAAGGAAAUUCCAAGUCAGCUCAGAAACUUUGACACCAUCACCAUUCUGAUUCACUGGAGAAUUUGGAAAGAAAGAAACGCGAGGAUUUUUGAGCAUGUGGCCAGCAAUGUGGACAGGGUGAUGGAGCUGAUAAGAGAAGAUAUUGCUGUCUGGAGAGCUGCCGGUUGUGUAGGUGAUGUACACUGA